RNAcentral lists this ribosomal RNA (293 nucleotides) under uncultured bacterium. RNAcentral's name for it is "partial 16S ribosomal RNA". It matches the Rfam family "Bacterial small subunit ribosomal RNA", at positions 505 to 796 of the family's 1533-position model. The record is from RNAcentral.
GUGUCAGCCGCCGCGGUAACACGUAGGGGGCGAGCGUUGUCCGGAUUUAUUGGGCGUAAAGAGCUCGUAGGUGGUUCGGUAAGUCGGGUGUGAAAACUCUGGGCUCAACUCAGAGACGCCACCCGAUACUGCUGUGACUGGAGUCUGGUAGGGGAGUGUGGAAUUCCCGGUGUAGCGGUGAAAUGCGCAGAUAUCGGGAGGAACACCAGUGGCGAAGGCGGCACUCUGGGCCAGUACUGACACUGAGGAGCGAAAGCGUGGGUAGCGAACAGGAUUAGAAACCCUGGUAGUCC